This 406-nucleotide ribosomal RNA is filed under the name uncultured bacterium. RNAcentral's name for it is "partial 16S ribosomal RNA". It matches the Rfam family "Bacterial small subunit ribosomal RNA", at positions 30 to 526 of the family's 1533-position model. The record is from RNAcentral.
AUUGAACGCUGGCGGCAGGCCUAACACAUGCAAGUCGAGCGAGCGGCGGACGGGUGAGUAAUGUAUGGGAAACUGCCCGAUGGAGGGGGAUAACUACUGGAAACGGUAGCUAAUAACGCAUACCAUCGGAUGAACCCAGAUGGGAGUAGCUAGUAGGUGGGGUAAUUGCUCACCUAGGCGACGAUCCCUAGCUGGUCUGAGAGUAUGACCAGCCACACUGGGACGGAGACACGGUCCAGACUCCUACGGGAGGCAGCAGUGGGGAAUAUUGCACAAUGGGCGCAAGCCUGAUGCAGCCAUGCCGCGUGUAUGAAGAAGGCCUUAGGGUUGUAAAGCACUUUCAGCGAGGAGGCGUUACUCGCAGAAGAAGCACCGGCUAACUCCGUGCCAGCAGCCGCGGUAAUUC